CACGUAGGGCGCAAGCGUUGUCCGGAAUUAUUGGGCGUAAAGAGCUCGUAGGCGGUUUGUCGCGUCUGCUGUGAAAACCUAAGGCUCAACCUUGGGCUUGCAGUGGGUACGGGCAGACUAGAGUGCGGUAGGGGUGACUGGAAUUCCUGGUGUAGCGGUGGAAUGCGCAGAUAUCAGGAGGAACACCGGUGGCGAAGGCGGGUCUCUGGGCCGAUACUGACGCUGAGGAGCGAAAGCGUGGGGAGCGAACAGG
This 253-nucleotide ribosomal RNA is filed under the name uncultured bacterium. Its description in RNAcentral is "partial 16S ribosomal RNA". It matches the Rfam family "Bacterial small subunit ribosomal RNA", at positions 524 to 776 of the family's 1533-position model. The record is from RNAcentral.